UGAGGAAUAUUGCGCAAUGGGGGCAACCCUGACGCAGCAACGCCGCGUGAGUGAGGAAGGUUUUCGGACCGUAAAGCUCUGUCGAGCGGGAAGAAAUGCAUAGUGGCUAAUAUCCAUUAUGCUUGACGGUACCGCUAAAGGAAGCACCGGCUAACUCCGUGCCAGCAGCCGCGGUAAUACGGGGGGUGCUAGCGUUGUUCGGAAUCAUUGGGCGUAAAGAGCGUGUAGGCGGCUGAAUAAGUCAGAUGUGAAAUCCCUGGGCUUAACCCAGGAAGUGCAUUUGAAACUAUUCAGCUUGAGUAGGGGAGAGGAAAGUGGAAUUCCUGGUGUAGAGGUGAAAUUCGUAGAUAUCAGGAGGAACACCGGUGGCGAAGGCGACUUUCUGGCCCUAUACUGACGCUGAGACGCGAGAGCGUGGGUAGCAAACA
RNAcentral lists this ribosomal RNA (428 nucleotides) under uncultured prokaryote. Its description in RNAcentral is "bacterial SSU rRNA". It matches the Rfam family "Bacterial small subunit ribosomal RNA", at positions 355 to 774 of the family's 1533-position model. The record is from RNAcentral.